AUGUCUUGACUCCUAAGAAGGUUCCUUUUUCCCCCUACAAACCUGCUGCAGAAGAAUAAAAUCCAAAAUAUCACCUGAGUAAAUAGAUCCAAAAGAAUAGUCAUUAGCUACUAACCUGUCUCAGCCUUUUGCACUUGAACUAGUCCUGGGCCUCAAAUAGACAUAGCUGUUCCAAGUGCCACGUCAGAACGCCCGCUCUGCCACUCACUCGCAGUCAAUCCCUUGGCACAUUACCUCAGCUUUCUGUGGCUCAGAUUCCUCAUCUGAAAGUCAGGGAGCCACAGGGCCGACCUCCCAGAUUUGCCAUGAGGAUUUAUUGAGUUCACCUACAAGAUUCACCUGAGCAGGCCUUGAAGCCAGCUGGAAGCACUUUCACAAUGAAGUAACACAGAAGACACAAAGUUUUCUCAACCAACGGUCACUGGAUCAUAGAAUAAGCCUUUCAAAGCUAAAUGAACCGUGUCCCCUUUUCCAAAUGCCUUAAAUAUCUACUGGAUUAGAAGGCCCAACUCUAACUUUGAGGACAAAACUAUAUAGAAAGGCUGAGCUCCCUCACACACGGGAGAUAAAUCAAGAAAGAAAUCAGGCAGGGCAC
This 595-nucleotide long non-coding RNA is filed under the name Homo sapiens (human). RNAcentral's name for it is "HSALNT0226644". Lineage: Eukaryota; Metazoa; Chordata; Mammalia; Primates; Hominidae. The record is from RNAcentral.